GACAGAGGAGCCAAGCGUUGUCCGGACUGACUGGGCGUAAAGCGCCCGCAGGCGGUGCGGCAAGUGGGAUGUGAAAGCGGCCGGCUUAACCGGCCGAGGCCACCCCAGACUGCCGCGCUCGAGCCAUGCAGAGGGUGGUGGAAGUGCCGGUGUAGUGGUGAAAUGCGUAGAGAUCGGCCCGAACACCGAGGGGGAAGCCAGCCACCUGGGCAUGGGCUGACGCUGAGGGGCGACAGCGUGGGGAGCGAACUGG
This 253-nucleotide ribosomal RNA is filed under the name uncultured bacterium. RNAcentral describes it as "partial 16S ribosomal RNA". It matches the Rfam family "Bacterial small subunit ribosomal RNA", at positions 524 to 776 of the family's 1533-position model. The record is from RNAcentral.